Corticium candelabrum is the source of this 438-nucleotide long non-coding RNA. RefSeq lists it as uncharacterized. NCBI's taxonomy places the organism in Eukaryota, Metazoa, Porifera, Homoscleromorpha, Homosclerophorida, Plakinidae. The record is from RefSeq and is a predicted model, not a curated record. The transcript is spliced from 3 exons.
CGUGCGUGGGUGCGACACCGUGCCACCAACCGGAUCCCUCUGCAGCCUUGAAACAGUCCUCGGUCACCAAUUCAUCUCAUGCCACUGCUACUGUCGACAGCCAAUUUGCAGUAUCCUUACAAAUUCUUCGGACGCUGAGAUUCAAGGUUGUUUGGGACCCACGGUGCUGACAUCCCAAGUCCCUACUCCUUCUAUGAGUCUAGCUACAAACGGAUCCGGACAUGGCGAAACAUCGAAUUUGACACCGACGGUAAAAUCAAUGCAACCAUCUGGUGCCAAGACCCCCUGGAACACCAUGUUUAAUAAUAUAGCCAUGAAACUUGGAGUCACUCUACUUCUGCAAGCAUACCUCCUGAUUUGAUUGCGCGUGACUUAGUCUCCUAAGAGAAUUUCUUGUGUACUGUACUAAAUAUCAGCUUACUAGACUUUAAUUAAAUA